GACGAACGCUGGCGGCGUGCCUAAUACAUGCAAGUAGAACGCAGUUGCGAACGGGUGAAUAAAGCGUAGGUCACUGCCCGGUAGAGGGGGAUAACAACUGGUAACGCUAGCUAACACCGCACACUACCAGAUGGACCUGCGUUGUAUUAGCUAGUUGGUGGGGUAACGGCCAACCAAGGCAACGUUUGAUAGACGACCUGGGAGGGUAGUCUGCCACACUGGGGCUGGGUCACGGCCCAGACUCCUACGGGAGGCAGCAGUAGGGAAUCUUCGGGAAUGGGGGGAACGCUGACCGAGCAACGCCGCGUGAGUGAAAGAGGUGUUCGGAUCGUAAAGCUCUGUUGUUAAGGGAGCGGUACUUAACCAGAAAGGGACGGCUAACUACGUGCCAGCAGCCGCGGUAAUAC
This 407-nucleotide ribosomal RNA is filed under the name uncultured bacterium. RNAcentral's name for it is "partial 16S ribosomal RNA". It matches the Rfam family "Bacterial small subunit ribosomal RNA", at positions 28 to 526 of the family's 1533-position model. The record is from RNAcentral.